Molecule: ribosomal RNA, 303 nt
Filed under: uncultured bacterium
Lineage: Bacteria
Description: bacterial SSU rRNA
Rfam family: Bacterial small subunit ribosomal RNA
Source: RNAcentral
AGUUGGAAACGACUGCUAAUACCGCAUAAGCCCACGGGUCGGCAUCGACCAGAGGGAAAAGGAGCAAUCCGCUUUGAGAUGGCCUCGCGUCCGAUUAGCUAGUUGGUGAGGUAAUGGCCCACCAAGGCGACGAUCGGUAGCCGGACUGAGAGGUUGAACGGCCACAUUGGGACUGAGACACGGCCCAGACUCCUACGGGAGGCAGCAGUGGGGAAUAUUGCACAAUGGGGGAAACCCUGAUGCAGCGACGCCGCGUGGAGGAAGAAGGUCUUCGGAUUGUAAACUCCUGUUGUUGAGGAAGAU